Long non-coding RNA from Homo sapiens (human), 702 nucleotides. Lineage: Eukaryota; Metazoa; Chordata; Mammalia; Primates; Hominidae. The record is from Ensembl.
AAGGAGGGACCUGUAGUCAAAAUGCACAAAUCUGAAGGAGGCCUUUGUGCACAGAAGCUGUCCUGCCUGUAAAUGUCCCCAGUCACCAGAUUAGUGCCAAUUUAUUUUCCAGUGAAGACACCAGGGGUCUGGGGGUGGGGUGGAGUUUGCAGGAGGGAGCAAAAAGGAAAAGGCAUACUUAGCACCAACCACAUGAGAGCCCUGCUCUGAAGUAACGGCCAAAUGAGCGUCCACUGAGUGUCUGCUGAUGGGCGUGUGCUGAUGCCUCCGUUAGAUGGGCAGGGUAAAAAGGAGGACAAGAAUGAAUACUUGGGUAUAAUCUGCUCUUGCUGUUGGAUGAGGAAGCUGAGACACAAUCACGGAAGAGCAAGAUUUAAAAGCCGGCAGUCUGACUCCUGAUCUCUCACUCAUCCACUACUGUAGACAGCCUUCUCUGUGUUUCAUUAGCACAUAACAAGAAUUCAUGCUCUCGGAGUACAAAGCAGGGUUUGUAAUAUCAAUAAAAGAGACACUUUCAUAGUGUUUUAGCUGAGUCUUGAGGAGAAAAGUAGAGUUUUAGUGAAGGAAGAAAGAAAGGCACUACAUGCUGAUUGUAUGUUUGAAGGCGCUGCUGUUAAGAGGUGAAGAUGCUGUUGUGGAAGAUGAAUCUGGGAUGGACUAAGGAUGGAACACUAACAUUUAAAGAAUGGAGGAAGAAAAGCA